AGAGUUUGAUCAUGGCUCAGGACGAACGCUGGCGGCGUGCCUAAUACAUGCAAGUGGAACGCAUGAUUGAUAUCGGAGCUUGCUCCACCAUUAAUCAUGAGUCGCGAACGGGUGAGUAACGCGUAGGUAACCUGCCUGAUAGCGGGGGAUAACUAUUGGAAACGAUAGCUAAUACCGCAUAAGAGUCGUUAACACAUGUUAAUGAUUUAAAAGGAGCAAUUGCUUCACUAUCAGAUGGACCUGCGUUGUAUUAGCUAGUUGGUGAGGUAACGGCUCACCAAGGCUUCGAUACAUAGCCGACCUGAGAGGGUGAUCGGCCACACUGGGACUGAGACACGGCCCAGACUCCUACGGGAGGCAGCAGUAGGGAAUCUUCGGCAAUGGACGAAAGUCUGACCGAGCAACGCCGCGUGAGUGAAGAAGGUUUUCGGAUCGUAAAGCUCUGUUAUAAGCGAAGAACGGGAGUAAGAGUGGAAAGUUUACUCUGUGACGGUAGCUUAUCAGAAAGGGACGGCUAACUACGUGCCAGCAGCCGCGGUAAUACGUAGGUCCCGAGCGUUGUCCGGAUUUAUUGGGCGUAAAGCGAGCGCAGGUGGUUUAAUAAGUCUGAAGUUAAAGGCAUUGGCUCAACCAAUGUACGCUUUGGAAACUGUUGAACUUGAGUGCAGAAGGGGAGAGUGGAAUUCCAUGUGUAGCGGUGAAAUGCGUAGAUAUAUGGAGGAACACCGGUGGCGAAAGCGGCUCUCUGGUCUGUAACUGACACUGAGGCUCGAAAGCGUGGGUAGCGAACAGGAUUAGAUACCCUGGUAGUCC
RNAcentral lists this ribosomal RNA (813 nucleotides) under uncultured bacterium. RNAcentral's name for it is "bacterial SSU rRNA". It matches the Rfam family "Bacterial small subunit ribosomal RNA", at positions 8 to 796 of the family's 1533-position model. The record is from RNAcentral.